GCCUACAUGAAGCUGGAAUCGCUAGUAAUCGCGGAUCAGCAUGCCGCGGUGAAUACGUUCCCGGGCCUUGUACACACCGCCCGUCACACCACGAGAGUUUGUAACACCCGAAGUCGGUGAGGUAACCUUUUGGAGCCAGCCGCCUAAGGUGGGACAGAUGAUUGGGGUGAAGUCGUAACAAGGUAGCCGUAUCGGAAGGUGCGGCUGGAUCACCUCCUUUCUA
This 223-nucleotide ribosomal RNA is filed under the name Rossellomorea aquimaris. RNAcentral's name for it is "Bacillus aquimaris partial 16S ribosomal RNA". It matches the Rfam family "Bacterial small subunit ribosomal RNA", at positions 1314 to 1533 of the family's 1533-position model. Lineage: Bacteria; Bacillati; Bacillota; Bacilli; Caryophanales; Bacillaceae. The record is from RNAcentral.